Molecule: ribosomal RNA, 2082 nt
Filed under: Triticum aestivum (bread wheat)
Lineage: Eukaryota; Viridiplantae; Streptophyta; Magnoliopsida; Poales; Poaceae
Description: partial small subunit ribosomal RNA
Source: RNAcentral
AUGGGGAACUCCGGUGCAUUUCAUAGUUCACUUACCCUACAAUCCUUAACUGUCUUCUCCCUCGUUGCUGUUUUUGCAGCAGAUCAUGUCCAGGGAGGAGAUGAUGGGUGCUCACCUUUCUCCUGUGGACAUCUCCGAGACAUAUCAUAUCCUUUCCGUCAGCGAGGUGAUCCUCUUGAUUGCGGUGUUGAAGCAUACGAGCUGGGUUGUACCAGUAGCAAGGCUACAAUUCACAUCAACACAGGAACAUACUAUGUGACUGCCAUCAACUACACUGGUUCCUACUUCUGGGUCAUGGAUCCCAUCUUCAAUACCAAUAGCAGCUGCCCUCUUCCACUGUGGAAUCACGUUCCUUACAUUGGUACAUACUUGGGCGGAAUUGAUUCAGUUUCACCACCUGGCUUUCGGUAUUUGGUCUCUCAAAGCUAUGAAGCAGCUUGUUUUGCUAAUUGUUCGCAAGCAGUAACGAAUAAUAGUGCAUACAAACCCGUUGCUUGCCUGAGUGCCAACAAUUCACAUGUUUAUGUCUGGGUGUCUAAUUACACAUAUUGUGUGGUUGAAGAUCUUGAGCCUUAUUGUGGAUACCUGGCCAAGAUUCCAUUUGGUAACGAGUAUUCUUCUGAUUGGGGACCGCUACAGAAUGCAAGUUAUGCAGAUAUCACACAAUUCAUAAGUAAGGGCUUUACUGUCCGAUUUCCUGUGGACACCAUGGGGCCUUCUGCUUCUGUGAAGUUAAGAAAGAACAUCAAUUUAUGCCUCAACAAUUCAAUCAGCUACUUCAAGGAGCAAUCAUCUGGUGCAAGCAUCGUGAAUUGGACUCAUGCUUUUUUCUGGAGUGAAGUGCACUUCUUAGAAUGCGUGACUCAGUUGUCCAACGAUCACUACUACACAACACCGUUUGUUUUGGUUGUUGUGACCAUAUUAUCUGCGAUUGCUAUCCCCAAGUUCUUUUUCGUACUAUUGAGGUUAUUGUUGGCACCCCUAGCUGUAUGGAUAUUCCUAGCAUACAAGUACUGGAAAACAAGGAUCAUAAUUGAUGCAGUUGAGAAGUUCCUCAGGAUUCAACAAAUGAUUGGCCCAACAAGGUACGCCUACACAGACAUCGUUGUAAUCACAAGCCAUUUCAGAGAUAAAUUGGGCCAAGGGGGCUACGGUACGGUGUACAAGGGUGUGCUUCUCCCAGGUGGCGUCCAUGUCGCCGUCAAGAUGCUAGAGGGCAAUUCCAACUGCAAUGGAGAAGAUUUCAUCAGCGAGGUCUCCACCAUCGGCAGGAUCCACCACGUCAACGUGGUGCGUUUAGUGGGGUUCUGCUCGGAGGAAAUGAGAACGGCCCUAGUCUAUGAGUACAUGCCCCAUGGUUCUCUGGACCAGUACAUCUUCUCUGCUGAGAAAAGCUUCUCAUGGGACAAGCUCAACGAGAUCGCUCUGGGCAUUGCCAGGGGGAUCAACUACCUACACCAAGGGUGCGACAUGCAGAUUCUGCACUUUGACAUCAAGCCACACAACAUCCUUCUCGACAGCAAUUUCGUCCCAAAGGUCGCCGAUUUCGGGCUCGCCAAACUAUACCCGAGGGGUGACAGUUUCGUGCCACUGAGCGCCAUGCGGGGAACCGUCGGCUACAUAGCCCCCGAGAUGAUAUCCCGGAGCUUCGGUGUCAUAUCCAGCAAAUCCGACGUGUACAGCUUCGGGAUGCUGCUGCUGGAGAUGGCCGGCGGGAGAAGGAACGCUGAUCCAAACAUGGGGUCCUCAAGCCAGGCAUACUACCCAUCAUGGGUGUACGACCAGCUGACUCAGGAAGAAGCGGGCGAGAUAUCUCCAGUUAAUGCCGACAUGCACGAGCUGGAGAAGAAGCUGUGUAUUGUCGGAUUAUGGUGUAUUCAGAUGAGGUCUCGUGAUCGGCCAACAAUGAGCGAGGUCAUUGAGAUCCUGGAUGCCGGGACCGACAGCCUGCAGAUGCCUUCAAGACCGUUUUUCUGUGACGAAGGGCACAUCCAUGUGGACGACUCUUACCAUUUCACUUCCGAGCUGACGGUGGUGUCAGAGGAGGAAUCGACUGCGGUGUCAGAGGAAGACAAUUUGUGA